GAGUCUGGAGGACGACGGGUCUCCCUUUGCAAGGCAUCUGCCCCAGGUGAGGUAAUGACACAGUCCUCGAGGGAGGGAGGGCAGGCUACUUCGUCUGGCAAAACAGGCUCAGUGGGACUGGGGUCUUCCCAAUUGUCAGCUUCAACUGCAGCCAACCAGCUGUCCCAGUUCCAGGUUUCAGGGUCCCAGUCCUCCAACCACUGCUCUACUUUUCAUAUGAGAAAUGUGGAGAGGCUGGGAAUUCAACGGGCCUUCGGAUUCUGUAACCCUCACAAUGAAAUGCUGUGUUUCCUUUCCAGCACCUUCAGCCCUGCAGGUACAGGGAGUACGAGAGUUUUGUAGGGCUGCAUGGAAGUUCUCUGGCUGUCAUAGUGUGACUUGUAAGGGAUCUGACCUUGUCAUCUGUUCCUCUGUACACUCCCAGGUACACUCAAGAGUCAUCCCAUACUGCAGUCCUGAUAGCCAUCGUGACCUUCCUGACCGUCCAGGGCGGCAGCCACUCCAGCUCCCCAGGUACUUGCUGCAGUGGACUCUUCAUCCCAGUCAACUGCAGGUGAGACCCUGGCGAACUGUGAGGCCCCUGCAGGUCAUGGGUGCCUCGAGCCCCACUUGGUCACUCACGGAGCGGAGGGCUGAAGGAACAGGGACAGUACAGGAAGAAGCUGCCGCCCCUGGAGCAAGGGGCAGAAGGGAAGGGGUUGAUGUCACUGGAAGGCUAGAAGCCAGCAUGAGGGGCGUUGAACAUCCAGAGCCCUGGAUCUCUGAGGAGGGGCUGCUGCAAUCUCUCAGGGAAGGAGGGAGCAACAUCAUCAGCUACCAGGGGGACCAGGGCAGGAGGUGAUUUCUGAGGCACCAUCUUCCAGGUCACUAACUCCUUCUUCAGUGGCAUCUACUUGUGGUUUAAUUAAUUUCUUGAGGUUUUUAUUCAAUGACUGUGCUUUCUUUUUUUAACUUCUAAAAUGCUUUUUCUUUUUCAAAUCUUUUCACUUUACUCUUAUCUUUGUGAUUCCCUCUUCUGUAUCUUUUUAUGUCUCUGGGGGCUACUGCAGAGUAGCUUUAUAUCACUAAUGCAAACGAUUUGUAAAUAUCCAUGAGAACUGCUCUCUGAUCUCAGGAGAAUGCAAAGGUGAUGUCAGUCGGUGUUUCAAAGUCCCCGAUUAAGCACAAGAGUAGGAGGUGUUUCUCUUUCUCACCCUCCUCCCUUCCUUACGUGCUGACCCAAGGCCUGGGGGAUAUUCACCUGGGCUCACCUCUGCCGCCUUCAGGACAAGCUGAUGUACCCCCCGGCAGGCCCCGGGAAUCUCCCAGUGACAAGGGAGCCAGGCUGUAGAGCGUAGCCCACAAAGGGGGGGGAGGUCAGGCUUAGAGCCCAGAGUCCUCGAUCCACACCUGGCCUCAGCCACUUGCUAGCUAGUGAUUCAGAACAAGCUACCUAACCCUUGUGUGUCAUGUGGUCCUCAUUUCCUCAUCCAGAGAGUGAGGACAGCAUCCUACCAACCUUGUAGUGCUGUGGAGAGGGUGGGAUGGCUGAGCCCAGGCACACAGCAAACCCUCGCAGCCAUUGCCAAAAAUGAUGUCAUCUGGCCUCUGACAGUUAAGGCCUGGGGAGGGGGUCGUUGACAGGGCCAGCCCUCUCUUUGACAGACCUGCUGAUUUUCCGUGAAGGCAGGCGGUGGCUUCAGUUAGAGAUUGCGGACCCGCCUUCAGCUGGGCCUCCGGGAGUCCUGAACGGGACGCCUGGGGUGACCCUUCGAGAGCACUGGUUUUAGGUGGAUUCUCGGUUCUGCUGUCUCACCUUCUGAGGCCCAUUAACUCCGAGCGCCUCGGAAACCCAGCCCCUCCCCCCACCGUUUUCAAGGCUGUUCCCUCAUGGAUCUCCCUCGUGUCCCUGCACUGAAAUAAUAUAACUAGGCUCUUCUCGUUACACAUUUCCUUGUCUUUCUCCCAAACUGGACUGGCAUCCCUGGAAGGCAGGGGCUGGAUGUCUGAGAGGCACUGCUCCCAGUCCCAGCCAAGGUAGCAGCACCCCGCUCCUCCAACACACACAGAGUGAUUUGGCCGCAGGCCGACCUACCAGCCUGGGUCCGCAAGGAAUUGACGGACCCAGCAAUUGCACUGGUGGCCGUUUAUGCCAAAGAAAUGGAAACGUAACGACGACGGGAAAACCUGUACACGAAUGUUCUCAGCAGAUUCCUUUGUAGAAGCCUAAAAGUGGGAACAAGCAAUACGUUCUUCAGUGGGUGAACGCUUGAACCAACCGUGGCUGAUCCCCGCCAAGGACUAGAGCUGCAAUACAAAGGAAGAACUAA
This is a long non-coding RNA of Camelus dromedarius (Arabian camel), 2309 nucleotides long. RefSeq lists it as uncharacterized. The transcript is spliced from 3 exons. Lineage: Eukaryota; Metazoa; Chordata; Mammalia; Artiodactyla; Camelidae. The record is from RefSeq and is a predicted model, not a curated record.